AAUCAAGUGCCUUAAGGGUGUUCGGUGGAUGCCUUGGCGCUGAGAGGCGAUGAAGGACGUGCUACGCUGCGAUAAGCCGUGGGGAGCUGCGAAGAAGCUUUGAUCCGCGGAUUUCCGAAUGGGGAAACCCACCUUCGAUAGCCGGAACUCCAAGACCUUGGUUUUGGGGUUCGAUUGGGAGACCGAGAGACUUC
This 194-nucleotide ribosomal RNA is filed under the name Dysgonomonas sp. Its description in RNAcentral is "partial 23S ribosomal RNA". It matches the Rfam family "Bacterial large subunit ribosomal RNA", at positions 1 to 202 of the family's 2925-position model. The record is from RNAcentral. Lineage: Bacteria; Pseudomonadati; Bacteroidota; Bacteroidia; Bacteroidales; Dysgonomonadaceae.